Molecule: ribosomal RNA, 497 nt
Filed under: uncultured bacterium
Lineage: Bacteria
Description: partial 16S ribosomal RNA
Rfam family: Bacterial small subunit ribosomal RNA
Source: RNAcentral
GAUGAACGCUGGCGGCGUGCCUAAUACAUGCAAGUAGAACGCUGAAGGAAGGAGCUUGCUCUUUCCGGAUGAGUUGCGAACGGGUGAGUAACGCGUAGGUAACCUGCCUGGUAGCGGGGGAUAACUAUUGGAGACGAUAGCUAAUACCGCAUAACAGUAGAUGUUGCAUGAUAUCUACUUAAAAGGUGCAAUUGCACCACUACCAGAUGGACCUGCGUUGUAUUAGCUAGUUGGUGAGGUAACGGCUCACCAAGGCGACGAUACAUAGCCGACCUGAGAGGGUGAUCGGCCACACUGGGACUGAGACACGGCCCAGACUCCUACGGGAGGCAGCAGUAGGGAAUCUUCGGCAAUGGACGGAAGUCUGACCGAGCAACGCCGCGUGAGUGAAGAAGGUUUUCGGAUCGUAAAGCUCUGUUGUAAGAGAAGAACGAGUGUGAGAGUGGAAAGUUCACACUGUGACGGUAUCUUACCAGAAAGGGACGGCUAACUACGUG